Small nuclear RNA from Otolemur garnettii (small-eared galago), 107 nucleotides. The record is from Ensembl. NCBI's taxonomy places the organism in Eukaryota, Metazoa, Chordata, Mammalia, Primates, Galagidae.
GUGCUUACUUCAGUAGCACAUGUACUAAAAUUGAAAUGAUACAGAGAAGAUUAGCCUGGCCCCUGCCCAAGGAUGAUACACAAAUUCAUGAAGCAUGAAUAUUUAAA